RNAcentral lists this transfer RNA (76 nucleotides) under Hyphomicrobium sp. RNAcentral describes it as "tRNA-Thr". It matches the Rfam family "tRNA". Rfam says of the family: Transfer RNA (tRNA) molecules are approximately 80 nucleotides in length. The record is from RNAcentral. Lineage: Bacteria; Pseudomonadati; Pseudomonadota; Alphaproteobacteria; Hyphomicrobiales; Hyphomicrobiaceae. RNAcentral also lists the same sequence under 1 other name.
GCCGGCUUAGCUCAGCUGGUAGAGCAGCGGUUUUGUAAACCGUAGGUCGGGGGUUCGAGUCCCUCAGCCGGCACCA